This 510-nucleotide ribosomal RNA is filed under the name uncultured bacterium. RNAcentral's name for it is "partial 16S ribosomal RNA". It matches the Rfam family "Bacterial small subunit ribosomal RNA", at positions 28 to 507 of the family's 1533-position model. The record is from RNAcentral.
GACGAACGCUGGCGGCGUGCUUAACACAUGCAAGUCGAACGAAGAGCGAUGGAAGCUUGCUUCUAUCAAUCUUAGUGGCGCACGGGUGAGUAACGCGUAAUCAACCUGCCCUUCAGAGGGGGACAACAGUUGGAAACGACUGCUAAUACCGCAUACGAUCUAAACUCGGCAUCGAGGAUAGAUGAAAGGUGGCCUCUACAUGUAAGCUAUCACUGAAGGAGGGGAUUGCGUCUGAUUAGCUAGUUGGAGGGGUAACGGCCCACCAAGGCGAUGAUCAGUAGCCGGUCUGAGAGGAUGAACGGCCACAUUGGGACUGAGACACGGCCCAGACUCCUACGGGAGGCAGCAGUGGGGAAUCUUCCGCAAUGGACGAAAGUCUGACGGAGCAACGCCGCGUGAGUGAUGACGGCCUUCGGGUUGUAAAGCUCUGUUAAUCGGGACGAAAGGCCUUCUUGUGAAUAGUGAGAAGGAUUGACGGUACCGGAAUAGAAAGCCACGGCUAACUACGUG